CCUACGGGUGGCAGCAGUGGGGAAUAUUGGUCAAUGGGCGCAAGCCUGACCCAGCAACGCCGCGUGAAGGAAGAAGGCUUUAGGGUUGUAAACUUCUUUUAUCAGGGACGAAGCAAGUGACGGUACCUGAUGAAUAAGCCACGGCCAACUACGUGCCAGCAGCCGCGGUAAUACGUAGGUGGCAAGCGUUAUCCGGAUUUACGGGGUGUAAGGGGCGUGUAGGCGGGAGUGUAAGUCAGAUGUGAAAUCUAGGGGCUCAACCCAUGGCCUGCAUUUGAAACUGUACUUCUUGAGUGCUGGAGAGGCAGUCGGAAUUCGUGGUGUAGCGGUGAAAUGCGUAGAUAUACAGAGGAACACCAAUGGCGAAGGCGGAUUGCUGGACAGUAACUGACGCUGAGGCGCGAAAGCGUGGGGAGCAAACAGGAUUAGAUACCCGUGUAGUC
Molecule: ribosomal RNA, 443 nt
Filed under: uncultured bacterium
Lineage: Bacteria
Description: partial 16S ribosomal RNA
Rfam family: Bacterial small subunit ribosomal RNA
Source: RNAcentral